UUACACAGCCAUAUCACCCUGCAGCCCAAGACCGGUUACUCACUGAAGCUAAGCAGGUCUGAGCCUGGUUAGUACCUGGAUGGGAGACCACUAGGGAACACUAGGUUGCUGUUGGAA
RNAcentral lists this ribosomal RNA (117 nucleotides) under Danio rerio (zebrafish). Lineage: Eukaryota; Metazoa; Chordata; Actinopteri; Cypriniformes; Danionidae. The record is from RNAcentral.